UACAUUCACCGAUCAGCGACAGUAACAACAACGGCAGCAAUCACAUGGGACGGUGUUUGUUGGCGAAACUAGCCAGCAAGACAACAUCAACUCGGGACAACAGCAGCGUGGUAGGACCACGAUUGCUGUCGACCCUCCUUACGCGCGCUGGAUCUGUCCGAUUCGAACAAUGGCGACAGGCACGAAGCAAGCGGCAACAGGAGCAGAGGCUCCGACAAGAGGCCGGCGAUUCACCGACAAUAAAAGUUGACAGCAGCGGUCUCUCGUGGCGAUGGAUCCUACGGCACUCUUUCACUCGUAAGCGCGCCUGCCUGGCUACUUGAUUACCUGUCUGCGUAGAAGCGGUUGCGCCUGUGGCACCUCACUGGCGCCCUCGCCGACGUCGCCAUCACCCAGGCAACAACGGCGCGCUGGCGUCGCUAGUGGCGGCUGUUAGGCGUACCUCUGUAGGCCGGCAGGCGUUUCGGCCGCCAACCAAUAUUUAACUCCCGAUAUUUGUCGUUCACUUACAAAUCCCCAACAUCAAUGCGGCGAGCGGCCAUUUUUUGCGAUAUCUAUGUAGUACGUCAAUUAUCGGCAAAACCACUUAUACGCUACAAGCGGACAGAUCAACAACGAUAAAUAGGGUAGAAUGUGUAUUUUGAAUGGUCAGACACUGAUCAUCGUUGUUAAUACGAGCGCUUUUAAGCUCAAAUAGUCUACGACAUAUAUUUUCGCUUGAUGCAAUGUUAGUCACCGUUUGGCUUAUGCACACUUGCCAAUUGCAGUGCCAACUAUUGUUCUUAGCUUGUAAAUAUGCACGAAGUUUCUAGUACAACAUACAGAGACUACGGUAAAGUUACAACAGCUUUAAGGUACAACUGAAUAGUUCAAGCGCUUUUCCAAGCUGCUCCAGAACACACGGAAUGGCGCAAGUGAGCGAUGAACGGCACUUCGCUUUGAAAUUUACGAUGGACACGAUCAUCUGGAAGAAGACAGAUACCACGAUGACGACGACAACAACAACAACCGCUCGUCGUAUAACGUCGGUAACAAUCGCUGCAGAUUCUUCAGUGAAGAAGAACAUUUCGUUGACAGACAAUAUUGAGUGGUCUAUCCACGCUAUGGUCUACACGCAUCCUUAAAAUGGACGUUUCAUUUAAAGAAGAUAUGGACAUCGCGUGACCUGGGAUAAGACUGUGUGAAUUACAAGAUAUGAUCGCUCACGAAAUCCAGAACGACAAAUGUAUAACAGUCUUACAAUCUACCGCAUACUGUACCUGUGCAGAAAUGCUAAUGAUAGAUCUUCUUGGAAUGAAUAGGCCAACAAACACCGAUCUCAUACUUAGCUAGUUUCCAAGCUUACUGCGGUCACGGGGCGAAGAAAAAAAAUUUAUCUUGAAAUCUUCAUAUUUGCAGACAAGCACAAGCCAGCUGCACGUGUAGAAUUAUGUUAUCGCUAAUUUAUGUGCAAGACACCUAUUUAUAGGCCAGCUUACCAGUGUCUCGACUAGCUUUUAAUGUACGUUUGUUGACUUCUCGCCAAUCAGCUAUCUAAAAGCUGGAAAGGAAACGACGACGGCGACGCAAAAGGACAACCAUUCAAAGUUCGUACUGACGCGUCACCGUGAGCUGCGAACGCGAACGUGCUCUUCUUAGUCUGACGUUGUCUUCUCAUUACAAAAAUGUUCCAUGUAUAAUUCCUGUGAAUAUUUGCGUUAGCAAUUCCUGGUACUGCACCCAUAGACUUUAUAAAUACAUUGUUAUGUAAAACAAAUCCUCUACUAGACUCUUAUUUUUGUGGUAAUGUUUGUCGGUCACUAAGACAACGAGGUGCCGA
RNAcentral lists this long non-coding RNA (1819 nucleotides) under Varroa destructor (honeybee mite). RNAcentral's name for it is "uncharacterized LOC111247213". The record is from RNAcentral. Lineage: Eukaryota; Metazoa; Arthropoda; Arachnida; Mesostigmata; Varroidae.